AGAGUAGUUCAGUGGUAGAACACCACCUUGCCAAGGUGGGGGUCGCGGGUUCGAAUCCCGUCUCU
This 65-nucleotide transfer RNA is filed under the name Thalassobacillus devorans. It matches the Rfam family "tRNA". From Rfam's summary of the family: Transfer RNA (tRNA) molecules are approximately 80 nucleotides in length. Their secondary structure includes four short double-helical elements and three loops (D, anti-codon, and T loops). The record is from RNAcentral. Lineage: Bacteria; Bacillati; Bacillota; Bacilli; Caryophanales; Bacillaceae.